Molecule: long non-coding RNA, 964 nt
Organism: Coregonus clupeaformis (lake whitefish)
Lineage: Eukaryota; Metazoa; Chordata; Actinopteri; Salmoniformes; Salmonidae
Exons: 5
Source: RefSeq, a predicted model, not a curated record
AGUCCAUCACAAUGAGUAAAUGAAAGUUGGUUUUGGAUUACAAUUAUGUCAACAACCCAUCCCCACUUUUGCCAAGCUCCACGUGCAAAUUGCCCCUCCGCUUCCCGUUUUUAGAAUGGGGCUCUGUUGUUUCAUCGCCUCUAAUGCGUUCAAAGGAUCACCGCCGUUUAAAACUGAAAAGCGCUAUAUGGAUUGACCAUGGCUCCACAGCGAAAGUUAUAUGGUUUGCAUGCCCUGCGGAAGGACCCUAGUAUGCGGAAAGGUGGUUGGAGUUCGUCAGUCUCCAAGUCUGCAAUGUUCGGUGGUGACCCUCCCAUUCAACACCACCUCAUAAGAUGAGGAAGUCCAUUGUUUGAGGAUUGCUUGCAGCAGCAGUUCGAGAAAUGUCAAGUUUGCAGCCGAACAUGCAACAUAGAGAAGACCAGCAAGGGGACCCUCAGCAUCACACAGACAUGCCCUCGCUGUGAGAAUUCCUAUACAUGGAACAGGGAGAACGCUCGAAUCAGUAUCUUUGAUGAGGGGCCAUGCUGCCAUGCCCAUCAAUUGGGCGCUGGCAAAGACCUCAACUCCAGCCUCACCUCUUGCCUGCUCACCAACGGUCGUUGAUGGGGAAACCAGAAUUAGAUGCAGCUAUGGCGCCAGCACUUGGAGACUUGCAAGAUGAUGUGAUGGAGUCCGGACCGACAGACAGACUUGAUACUGACGUCUCUGAAUGGAGAGAGACCUGGCACUCAACACAUCCACAAUGUGGGACUGAAGGGGAUUACUACUAAUACAGUACACCAGAAAUGUACAUUUGCAACACCCUUUUCAUUCCAUUUGUCGCUGAUAAACUCUGACUCAACUCUGCCUAUUUCUACAGAUGGACUGUAGAUGCUUUUGCCAGUCGGCAGCCUCAGUCAUUUGAUGGGGAGACCAUAAUUGGAAACAUGUAUGGAGCCAGCACAUGGAGACAUGCAAGAUG